This 1792-nucleotide long non-coding RNA is filed under the name Homo sapiens (human). RNAcentral describes it as "HSALNT0370917". The record is from RNAcentral. Lineage: Eukaryota; Metazoa; Chordata; Mammalia; Primates; Hominidae.
UGCCAGCGCUUUUUAUUGUGAAUGUUUUAAGGAAAAUAAACAUCUCUGCAGUGAAAACAACUGCAAUGUUGAACAUGAAGCCGUGAUUGGCAAAGUUUAGUUAGGUCCAGGCAAUUGCAAAUAAACAAUGAUGAAUUAUCCACUCUCCCCUACCCCCAGCAGGGUCCAGGUGAUGCACGUGUUUAAGGGGUCUGAGACUUUGCUUUCCAGCUGUGUUUGGUAGACAGCUGAAGCAAAGUAAUUAGAAAUAACAAAGGUGGAAUUUGGGGCAGAGAAAGAAGCUAUUCUUUUUUUUUGGCAGGGGGGUUAGGCACUUCUUCUUGGUACUUCUUUAGCCCUCUGUACUCAUUCAUUUUUUUUUGACAAAUGUUUAUUGAGUAUGAGAUAUCACCAGGUGUACACCAGGCAUUGCUGUAUAUAUUGGAGAUGAACAAAACAGACAAGACUCCUGUCUUUGAUGAAUAAGAGAUGACGACUUGCAUUAUAAUGAGAUCCUACAAUGCCUGGAGAACAGAGAUGAGGCCAAGGAAUUCAGAGCCCAGUAGCCCCACCUAUCUUUAAUUAACUAGAGGACAUCACUCCAGCAUCUUCUGCUCUCCAGGCUUCCAUGGUCCUGGACCAUGAGAAUACAUGCUCCUCAUCAUUGAAGAUGCAGGAUGAGAUCUUACUCUGUAGAGUACAAACAGUAUAUACAUCCCUUUUCUGGGCAAAAAAAAAAAAAAAAAAAAAAAAGAGUUAGCUCAGUCCCUGCAUUGCCCUAGGAAACACUUAGCUACAUGGGUCCUUAGGUGAAUUUAUUCUGUUGAUCAAACUUGUGUGUGUGUGCACGUGCAUGCAUACACACACACAUGUGAGAGACAGAGUGUGUGUGUUAUCCAAAGUAGACUCCACACUAUAUGUAACUCCCCUAGACCUGGAGGGGAGAAGGGAGUACCCAGGUCAGAAUUUGAUUCAUUUACAUCCUUAAUUUACCAGUGGGAGAGUCCAGAUCAGCUACAGUCAGAAAGGAAAUUUCAGGAGAUAAAAUGCUGACAGCGAAUGGCAAUUGUCCCUCUUUUAUCAUUUUCAAUAUUGUUGCAACAAUGCUGACCUCUGUUCUCCCAAGUCAUGAACAGAGAGAGCCAAUGAUUUAAAGAGACCAAUUAGAUUUUAGCUCCAUAAGCAAACAGGUCAUCUUGCUCAAAGAAGUUUCCCAGUGUAUACUGAGCAGGUCACCUGUCCUACAAAAUGCACCAUGAAGAAAAGUGUUCUGUAGUCACAGAUGUUUAAGAAAUGCUGUGAACUGCACCCCCAUCCCAGAGACUCUUAGUGCACAGUGAUAUUUUCAAGCUCAGUAAAGUCCAAUAGCAAAGAAGCCUACUUAAAUAUAGGUAGUCCAGCAUUUCCUAGUCAUUAAGGCAUGACCUCCAUUUCUGGCCAUAUAGCCGACUAGACACCUUGGAUGAUUCUCCCAAUGAGGGAAAAAUAACUACAGGGACAUGGAAGAAGCUGGAAGCCAUCAUUCUCAGCAAACACAGGAAUUGAAAGCCAAACACCGCAUGUUCUCACUCGUAAGAGGGAGUUGAACAAUGAGAACACAUGGACACAGGGAGUGGAACACCACACACUGGGGCCUGUCGGGGGGUGGGGGGCCGGGGAUGGAGAGCAUUAGGACAAAUACCUAACGCAUGCAGGACUUAAAACCUAGAUGACAGGUUGAUAGGUGCAGCAAACCACCAUGGCACAUGUAUACCUAUGUAACAAACCUGCACGUUCUGCACAUGUAACCCAGAACUGAAAAUAAAAUUAAAAU